Long non-coding RNA from Rhododendron vialii, 757 nucleotides. RefSeq lists it as uncharacterized. Lineage: Eukaryota; Viridiplantae; Streptophyta; Magnoliopsida; Ericales; Ericaceae. The transcript has 2 exons. The record is from RefSeq and is a predicted model, not a curated record.
CACAGCACCACUUGACACAAUGACAUUGAUACACCACAAUUCACAAAAUGUCACCUCCCUUUCGGUAAUUGGUCUGGAGCAAGACCAAAAGGUUCCAACAGGUUACUUUUUUGAGACUCCAUUAAACGACCAAGGAAAAACAGCAUAUGAUGAACUUCCAACACCCCAUACUGUAAAAACUGAAUCAAACAGUUAUGCUUAACCUCAGAUACACCUUAUACACACUCUCCCAAAAUAGCUGAAAGAGUUCAUAAAUAGAUUUCUCCACCGCCUGAGCGCGUUUGUGAAUUCAGAACAGCACAAGACAGACAAUGAUCUAAAACAAGGAAUUAAUCGGCGAUUAGUCGCUGACUGGGCUUAUCCGAUUAGAUCCGACUAACAAUUAAUCACCAAUUACUAAUUAAUAUGCACCGAUUAAUCGCUCGAAGGUAGCCGACCACCCGGCUAGCACCUAGCGACUUUUAGAAACUUUUAGAACAUUGCAAGAGUAUAUGCAGCAAAAAGGAUACCGCAUUGAGAUUAAUCAAAUACACCUAGAGUAAUCAUCAUAUAUACAAACCAACAAAGUACUUGUUUGUUAAUAUGUAUUGAGUUAAGUUGUGGACUAGUCCGUUUAAUAUGUGAAAUGAGAAGGAUUCAGUUAGAGUAAUCGCUUGAAAUGUUCUUUAGCUGCCUACAGAUGGAGAGCAAUCAGCGAGUAUUCCAGAGCUAGGCCACUGCAAAAGUGCAGAUCACCCCAAGAACUCUAAACAUCAAA